GCAUCUGUGCAUGCAGCAUAUCAAUAAGCGGAGGAAAAGAAACUAACAAGGAUUCCCUUAGUAACGGCGAGUGAAGCGGGAAGAGCUCAAAUUUGAAAUCUUCAAGGUUUUACCUUGACGAAUUGUAGUUUAAAGAAGUGUUUUCUGUUGAAGUUUUGGUAAAAGUUCUUUGGAAUAGGACAUCAUAGAGGGUGAGAAUCCCGUAUUUGACCAUUAUUUUCAGCUGUGUGAUACACUUUCAAAGAGUCGGAUUGUUUGGGAAUGCAGUCCAAAAUGGGUGGUAAAUUUCAUCUAAAGCUAAAUAUUGGCGAGAGACCGAUAGCGAACAAGUACCGUGAGGGAAAGAUGAAAAGAACUUUGAAAAGAGAGUUAAACAGUACGUGAAAUUGUCAAGAGGGAAGCGUUUGACACCAGUGUUGUUUUCUCGAAAAUCAAUUAAAAAGAGUUUGAUUUUGUUGUGUAUUGACCUUAACAGCUUGCAUUUCAAUUUUCUUGCUUUUUUUAAUGCACUUUUCGUUUAACAAGUCAACAUCAGUUUCUUUUGUUGUAAAAAGGUCAUUGGAAGGUGGCUUUCUUUUCGGAGAGAGUGUUUAUAGUCCUUUGACUCCUGCAAUCGGAGAGACUGAGGUCUGCAGCGUAGAUCCUUCGGGGUUAGAUACAUUUAUGCUAAGUUAUAGCUUUUUAUAGACAACUUGUUGACUAUGAUUAGUCUUGUAGCUUACUCGCUUAUGCUAUUUUACCUACGCUUAGGAUGUUGACACACGCGCGUGCUCG
Molecule: ribosomal RNA, 774 nt
Filed under: uncultured Neocallimastigales
Lineage: Eukaryota; Fungi; Neocallimastigomycota; Neocallimastigomycetes; Neocallimastigales
Description: partial large subunit ribosomal RNA
Rfam family: Eukaryotic large subunit ribosomal RNA
Source: RNAcentral